This 266-nucleotide long non-coding RNA is filed under the name Elaeis guineensis (African oil palm). RNAcentral's name for it is "long non-coding RNA (EGUI_LNC052501)". The record is from RNAcentral. Lineage: Eukaryota; Viridiplantae; Streptophyta; Magnoliopsida; Arecales; Arecaceae.
GGGGGCUUAUCCGUCAUCAAAACUUGGGAGUGUUGCGGAGGCUCGACCGCCUGGGAGGUUUGAAGAGACGCCGUCGGAGGUCGGGAGUCAGUUGGAUCCCCGGAGGGUCACUCCUAUCACGAACUUCUGCUGGGGGGUAUUUUAUAUCCAACACUCUCAGAAAACGUACAGAUGGAGGAAAGGAAGAGAUGAACCCAGCAACUCUAGAAGAAGACAUUCUUCUUCUUCUCUUUGCUCUAACCCAGACACCUAGUUUUGUGUCUAUU